CCUGUCCAACAAUGAAUAAAAAUACUACUAACUGUUAGAAUAUAAUGAUCCUCGUAAAAAGCUUUUCCCUAACACCUCGUAAAAGCUACCUGAUUACCUCAAACUCUUUUGAAGGGCAGGAAGGACUCGGUCACCAUAAUUAUCAUGCAACCAGAGCUUUGAGGUAAUAAAAAGCUCAUCGCGAGACUUGAUUAGGCCACGACUAAUAGCUUGAGCUAUUGCUUCACCAAGAGCUUCCUCUGUUUGGUAAAAAGCAGCGGUAUCAAACAUCCUGUAACCAAGCUCAAUUGCGUCAAGCACAGCUUUCUUCGUAUUAGUUAUAACUUCUGGUGUCGGAUCAGAAGCUCCUAAUCCAAGUCCUAGAACUGGCAUAGGUUUUGCAUUUCCGGAGCUCAAACAAAUUUCUGGAAUAGCCAUCUUUUACUUAUAAUUUCUGGACAACUUAGUAUGUACUUAGAGUUUCUUUGAUUGCAUUAAAAGAUCAACAGAACUAUAUAUAAACAUGUGCAUGUGAUUAAUAUAAUCCACUGCAACAUUUCUUAGUUGAAUGAGGAACCUGAUCGGAAGGAGAGUAGUAUCUUCAGGGACUUCUUGGACGUCAUGGAUGAUGCUUUUAUGGUACUCCACAUUUUCUUUGUGAUUUUUCCAAGAAAUUGUUCAUUGGAUUUGAGAUAUAUUAAUAAACUUAUAGAUUGUUUAAAAUAAGAAAAUCAAGCAUGCAUGCAGGGGAAUCAAUGAAAGAAACCUUUGAUAAAUCAGUGAUUUUGACCUGACAAUAAUUUUCAAUUUUUCCAAGAGGCCAGGACAAAUUGAUUUGUGAUACUUGUGUUGACGAUAUAAAGUAACAUUGAAAUAUUAUAGACUUGAGAACACGAUGAAGAAGAUAAUUUUAAAAAUCAAUAUAAUUGAAAUUUAAUAAUCCGAACAAUAAUAAAAAAUAUUACUGCAGAGUCUUUUUAAGGGCAGGGAUGACACGAUCGCCAUGGUUAUCAGUGCACCAGAUUUUAGAGCUGAGAAAGACAUCAUCGCGGGAAUUUAUUAAACCAAGACUAACUGCUUGAGUUAUAGCUUCACCAAGAGCUUCCUCUGUUUCAUAAGCGGAAGCAGUAUCAAACAUCCUGUAACCAAGCUCAAUUGCUUCAAGCACAGCUUUUACGACUUCCUCUGGCUUAAGAUGGGGAUAUCCACCCGUGCCUAGUCCCAAAACAGGCAUAGCUUUUGCAUUUCCGGAGCUCAGAGCAACCUCUGGAACACUUUUCAGAGCCAUCUUUUAAUCAGUAUCACCUGAUAGCCAACUUAAGUUUUGUUCUUACAAGAUCAGGUAGGUGUGUAGAAAUUAUGAUACCUUUGAUGUCACACACACAUCUAUAUCAAAGAAAAACUCAUAUUUAGGUUGAAAAUUUGGACUUGAUUUUGGCUUCUAUUGGUCAGCAUUGUGAAUGAAGUAGUUGGCUGUUUAUAGAAUAAAAGGCCUAAAUAUCUGUUUGAUUUGAUACAGGAAAAAAUUCAGAAAAAAGGAAAACAGCACCAAAAAGUCUGAAGACGUAAAAAAAUUGGCCCUGCCUGAUAAUGGAUAGAGGCUAAAUCUAAGUUCAGAUAUUAUUACUUGAAUUUGUUGAAGAGUAUAAGUUCAUGUUGGGGUUUAGCCUCUGGCACCUCAUGGUUUUAGAUUGACUGGUUACUUAAUAUAAUAUCAAAGACCGGUUUGAAUUGUUUACGGUCUGCAAUUUUAUGAUUACGGGGAAGUAUCGCUUAACAGAAUUCAAAUGUUUUAAACACAGAAGUCAGAACUGUAUCCUAAAUCUUCUACGGAUCAGUUCUGUCAUGUUUACGUGUACAAGAAGGUUGCCACUAGCAAGCAUAUGCUGCAAAUAUUUGGAAUGGAGCUUUAGGUAAGAGGCUCGGCCCUCAGGAGUCCAGUCUAAGGUUUCUGGACAGUUAUACACAGAGGACUUUAGGAAUGGAGCUUUAGGUAAGAGGCUCAGCCCUCAAAUAUGAUUGUGAAUAAUCACUUGGUAAGCAUUGUGUGAUUGAAAGUGUCUGUAUUGUUACCAGAAAAGUCAGGAAUGAGGCUGAGUUCAGCAACUACAGAUUACGGAAGGAAAAUACAAAAUACAUUAUGACUAGAAAAAACAAGAUUGACAGAUUGGCAGAAGUGCCUUAUUUCAGAUGGUUCACCUUUACUAUUAUAGUAUUAUAUUUAUGACAUAAUUAUCUUUAAAGUUCUCCAUCCCAGAGCUCCUCGAGUGUCUUGAAUGGGCCAGUUUCAGAGACAACGAACUCUGCAAGGUUUGCCCUCUUUUGCGGCAUUGCAGCAAUCUUCUUGGACUCUUCAUCGCUCAACUCCCACCCAAAAAUUUCAAGAUUCUGCUUUAGUCUCUCUUUGUUGAAGCUCUUCAUCACAAUAACAAUCCCUUGCUCAUAAGCCCAUCUCAAGGCAAUCUGGGCUACAGACUUACCUUUCGACUUUGCAAUUUCCAUCAGAACCUCGGAUUCCAACACUCCUUUCGUCCCCCAAAAAGCUCCUGCUGCUCCUAGAGGAGAAUAAGCAGCAACCUUGAUUCCAUUUGCCUGACAGAAGGCCCUCAAUUUCCCCUGCUGCCAUGCUGGAUUCAAUUCCACCUUCGUACAUGAACAGAUUAUUAAAUAUUUUUUCGAUGUUAAUAGAGUAGUAGUUUACUACUAUUAAUUUCUAGUUUGCGAAUGCAAGCUUACUUGAUUGAUUGCAGGAGGAAUCUUGGCAAAAGCCAAAAUAUCCGCAAGCUUCUUGCAACUGAAAUUACUGACACCGAUUGAUUUUGUAAGGCCGAGACUUUGGCACUCUUCCAUUGCUGUCCAAACAGCUUUGAAGUCCAUUGCAGCAAAAUUCUCAGGGUUUAGUUGAAAAGGGUUUGAUCCAGCCUUCAUGCUCACCGGAAAAUGUAUAAGAUACUGAUCAAGAUAGUCCAACUUCAUAUCCCUGUCCAACAAUGAAUAAAAAUACUACUAACUGUUAGAAUAUAAUGAUCCUCGUAAAAAGCUUUUCCCUAACACCUCGUAAAAGCUACCUGAUUACCUCAAACUCUUUUGAAGGGCAGGAAGGACUCGAUCACCGUAAUUAUCAUGCAACCAGAGCUUUGAGGUAAUAAAAAGCUCAUCGCGAGACUUGAUUAGGCCACGACUAAUAGCUUGAGCUAUUGCUUCACCAAGAGCUUCCUCUGUUUGGUAAAAAGCAGCAGUAUCAAACAUCCUGUAACCAAGCUCAAUCGCGUCAAGCACAGCAUUAGUUAUAAUUUCUGGUGUAGGAUCAACAGCUCCUAAUCCCAGUCCCAGAACUGGCAUAGGUUUAGCAUUUCCGGAGCUCAAACAAAUUUCUGGAAUAGCCAUCUUUUACUUAAAAUUUCUGACAAUUUAGUAUGUACUCAGAGUUUCUUUGAUUGCAUUAGAAGAUCAACAGAACUAUAUAUAAUCAUGUACAUGUGAUUCAUAUUGACUGCAUCAUUUCUUAGUUGGUGGCCAGGGACUUCUUAGACGUCAUGGAUGAUGCUUUUAUUUGUACUUCCUUUGUCCCGCUUUUUGAAAAAAUACAAAUUUUUAUGAUGUGCGGCUUAAUUAUUAUAGUUACUUUUUUUGACAAAUGCAAGAAAAUUUAAUUAACUUGAAUAUAAUACAGUCGGGACAAACCCCCAACUGUCGAUACAACCAGGUGGUAAAACAAAUAACAUGCUAAAAACAAUUAGAUGAUUUGUUUCCUAAUCGUUUAACAGAUAGAAUUCAGAUUUUUUGAAGCAAAAAUGAAAUCAAAGACAUCCCAAGCGAUCCAAAUUGCACCAAAAUCUGUGGAAACAGUAACGUCGCAAUUGACCAUAUCACAUAAAAACUAUUGUUAGCCCAAUGUUCAGAAACACCAAUCGCAUAAAUCGAGAUUGGAGAAGUGGCACCACAGCUAUCUACAUGCCGGAUACCAGCUAUAGACUUGCCGAAGGCACCCCAGCUAUCUACAUGCCGGAUACCAGCUAUAGACAUGCCGAAAGUGUAAACCCGUGAAUGAUGAACAAUCUUUGAUUGUGAAAGGUGAGCUCUUGCAAUAAUCACCACCGUCCCAGAUUCGAUACAGUUUUUGUAGAUCACCAAAAAUAUCAAGAAACUCAUUUUCAACAGAUCCAAUACGAAAUAAACCCAAUCAUGACUAAAGAAAAACAUAACAAACACUCCAAAAGGAGAAACAAACCACACACUCCAAGAGGAGAGACACACAAACACCCUAAUGGAGGUGGAAGAGAGGAGGGAGGCGGCUGGAACGAGAUAAUUAUUAUAAUUAAAUAAAAAGUAAGUUUUGAUCGGGAAAAGAGGAGUAUGAACUUGCAGAUUACUAUUCAAAAUAAGAAAAUCAAGCAUGCAUGGGAAUCAAUGAAACAAAUCUUUGAUAAGUCAAUGAUUUUGACCUCAUAAUAAUUUUCUCUUUUUCUAAGAGGUGAGGGACAAAUUGAUUUGUAGAAAGUCUGAGGUAAAUACCUGAGAUGGUUCCCAGUUGCAUCAAACAAAGAGGCCAACAUGCAACAUAGGAUCUUCUGAAUUCAAACAAACAUUAUCCUCAAACUAGGUUCCUUAGGCCAAACCAAACGUAGAUCAUGUCCCUAUUCUAAAAGAGGAGGGAGACUGUUUUCAUGAAGACCCUCGAUUUAAUGCAAGACAAAGUAUUAUGUGACAUGUAUGCAAAUAGUACCUUGGCCAUAAUUUUCUUUAUAAACAAUCCGGCUAUAGCAACUAUAAAUUACAAAAGGAAAACUAUAAUACAGUAGCAAUAGAAAGAACAAGAGUGACAUGUUGGCGGCUGUGCCUUAUUUCAGAAGGUUUGCAUAUACUGAUAUGCCAUUUUAUUUGUGUAAUAAUCAUCUUAAAGCUCUCCAUCCCAGAUAUCCGCGACGGACUUAAAAGGACCAGUAUCAGAAAUAAACAUAUGGCCAAGGCCUGCCCUCCUUUGCGGCAGUGCAGCUAUCUUCUUGGACUCUUCUUCACUCAAUCCCCAUUCAAAUAUUUCAAGAUUCUGCUUUAGUCUCUCUUUGUUGUGAGACUUGGUCACAAUAAUAACUCCUUGCUCAUAAGCCCAUCUUAAAGCAAUCUGGGCCACAGACUUCCCUUUCGACUCUGCAAUUCCCAUCAGAACCUUAGAUUCCAGAACAUCUUUUGUCCCCCAGAAAGCUCCUGCCGCUCCUAGAGGAGAAUAAGCAGCUAUUUUGAUUCCAUUUGCCUGACAAUACUCCCUCAGUUUCCCUUGUUGCCAUGCAGGGUUCAUCUCCACCUUUAUAAACAAUAGACAUCCGAAAGAUUUAGAGCCUGUUUGUGGGGAUUUAAGUCGAGAGCUUAAUGUUGUUUCUAAUUUUAAGCUAAACUAUGUUUAUUUGAGUAAUAACCCUGAAACUGACUUAUAGUCGGAAAGAAGUCACAAACUGACUUAAAACCAGAAAUUAGUUUGAUGUACUUUUUUCAAAAAAAAAAAUUUAAUAUAAAAGUUAACCAUAAGUCAUAAGUUAUCUAUAUAUCACUUUAUUAUUAUUUUUUAUCAUCCAAAUAGACAUUUUAAACUCCCAACUUAUCACGUUGAGUCAUGAUAAGCUAUAAGUUACAAUUUUAACCUGAGACAACCGGGCUCUUAAGUGCAUGAUGGUACCAUGUAUUUGUGCACAAGGAUGAAAUCGACGAGGAAUUUGUGAAUUUAAACUUACUUGAUUGAUUGCAGGAGGAAUCUUAGCAAAUGCCAGAAUAUCAGCAAUUUUCUUGCAAGUGAAAUUACUGACACCAAUAGAUUUUGCAAGGCCAAGUGUUUGGCACUCCUCCAUGGCCGUCCAAACAGAUUUAAUAUCCAUCGGAACAAAAUCUUCAGGGUUCAGGCGGAAAGGGUUUGAUCCAGCCUUCAUGCUCAUUGGAAAAUGUAUAAGGUACUGAUCAACAUAGUCCAACUUCAUAUCCCUAUCCAACAAUCAAUAUUAAUAAAAUUAAGGGCCACACAGAUCUUUUGUUCAAAAAUUGAAAAAAAAUAGUGUGUAAAAGUAGUACCGCAAACUCUUUUGAAGGGCAGGAAGGACACAAUCACCAUAAUUAUCAUUCAACCAAAUCUUAGACGUAAUGAAGAGUUCAUCGCGGGACUUGAUCAAACCACAACUGAUAGAUUGAGAUAUCGCUUCACCAAGAGCUUCUUCUGUUCUGUAAAAAGAAGCAGUAUCAAACAUCCUGUAACCAAGCUCAAUUGCUUCAAGCACUGCUUUUAUCAUACUAGUCAAAAAUUCUGGAGUUGGAUCCAAAGUUCCUAAGCCCGGUCCCAAAACUGGCAUAGCUUUUGCAUUUCCAGAGCUCAGAAUAAUUUCUGGAAUAGCCAUCUUUGUUUACUAGCUAGCUGCUAUUCACUUGGACCAGUUUAGUAUGUAUGUGAAUUUUGUUUGAUUGUCUUGAAUGAUCAACUACACCAGAUAUAGUAAUUUACAUGUAAUCAUCGAUCUUGUUUUAUUUUGUUUUAUCUUAUCAUGCAGAUAUCGAGUAUAUUGUUUAAAACAGAGGCAUUGACCGGAUAAAUAUAAAAAUAAAAGAUACUGUUGAGCACUAAUUGAGCCAAUUUAUAUAUGAAUAUCAUUAUUUCAAAUAUGUAUAUGAAUUUUACCAUUUCAAUGAUAUAGAUUCUUAUUUAUAGGUAUUGAUAAAUUCUGAUUGCAUUUGUCGAAUUUGUCCCGGCUGGAUUCCGAUGAGUGAAUCAUAUUAAAACACAAUACUUUGUUGAGCCAUUCUCAGUUGUUACUACCUUCCAGGCAUCUUUGGCCAAGCUAACUAUAUAUGGCUGUUAUAGUUAACAUGAUUUAACCCUUUCUCUGUUUGAUGUUAUUUAACCAUAUUAUCACCUGCUCCUUAGAUAAUACUCACAGAUGAGUCUAAAGUAAUGUCAAAUAUGUACCUUUCAAGAAAUUUUUAAAAAACAGACAAGAAUACUAUAUAUCCCCCUUGUUGUUUAGCCUAGUCUAUGAUUUGAUCUGGACUGAUCCUUGGAGGAAUCUUCGCAAGAGCCAGGUUUCGUAAAUUUAAUUGUGUGUUUGCCUGUCUGGCACUCUUUCAUGUCUGUCUAAACAUCUAAACAUCACAUUAUCUUGAAAAUGUUUAAGAUACUGAACAAGAUACUCCGACUAUAUUUUUCUGAGCAAUGUGAAUAAAGGCGUGGCGUUUGUAGCACUGUAGAGUCUUCAGAAGGGUGGGAGGACAUUAUUGCCAUGUUUAUCACUGCACCAGAGCUUAGUGGUGAUGAAGGCUUCACGCGAAACUAACUAAACCUAGACUAAUAACUUAGAAAAUUUUAAAAGUAGGAUGAGUAGUAAUAUUUAAAUAACAGAGCAUCUACUUGGUCCUUAACAAAUUUAUCUUAAGUAAUUAGGACUUUUCUUAAAGUGAGGGUUAAUGACAAUUUGAUGUAACUUUUCUCUUCGGGUUAAUAUAAACGAAGGCGUAGAUGGGAGACAGUGAUGUUCAAUGAAAUUUAUUAGUGUUGCACCUGUAUCUGCUGAAGUGAACAUAUUUCUCUAUUAGCUGGUCAAGAAUAUUUUUCUAUGAUAUAUCUGAUUUUGACCAAGAUGCAAAGAAUUCUUUUUGCUAAAUUCUGUUAUUAGGCAGUUUUGGACAACAACUUGGUAGAUUCUUCAUAGCUGCUAUAUUCCAGUCACGCGAAUAUGCUUCAAAUUGUUGGCUUUAAAUCUGGAAAUCUUACAGUAGAAUCGCUGUAAUAGUUUCUGCUGCAUUACACAAAAACGCGGGAAAUAAGCUAUCAUCACCUACAUUAUAUUGGUCAUGUACUGUAAAUUUCUGAACUUCUGAACUCUAAAGAUUUCAGACAAAUUAUGAAUACUAGAACUAGUUCCAGUUGCAGCAAAUAAAGAUGAGACCGACAUCAAAACAGCCUUGCAGGAUAUCCUGAUCUGAGUAUAUUGUUUAAAACAGAGGCAUUGACCAGAUAAAUAUAAAAAGAGUUAAUUGCAAAAUGCACCCCAUAACUUCGGCCCAAACGCACUUCAGUCAACAUACUUUUAUUAUUUGCAUUGUGCAUCCCCCUGGUAAAUAUAGCGCUGCAAAAUGCACCUUUUCCGUCCAAGUCCGUUAAGUGUGAGAGAUUAACUCAUUUUAACGUUAGUUGUCAGGGGAUUAAGUGAGGGGCAUAAUAGGAAUUUCAUUUUUAAAAGACCUUCUCCCCCAAAUCAGCUAUAUAUGUCAUUAAAAAGCAUAUUUUAGCCCUAAACAAAUAACAUCAUCUUCUUCUCUUUUUCAGAAACGAUGGCAGAGCAUUGUGGGUGUGGGAACGUCAUUGUAGUGAGAACAUCAUGGACUGAUUCAAAUCCUGGCCGGCGUUUCAUAUCUUGCGAUCGUUGUCGCUAUUUCCGGUGGAUUGAUGCCCCAUUAUGUGAGCGUGCAAGAAUCAUCAUCCCAGGCUUGUUAUGCAAAAUCAACACUCUUGAAGCACAAGUAAAUCGAGCUGCUGGUGAUGGUUUGGUUAUGGGGAUGAGUGAAGGGGACGUAUGUUCUAGCCAAAAAGAAGUGAAGCCAGUGGAGUCAAUUUGUGGUUGCAAAACAUCACUGAGUUUACUAAUUUUGACUUGGAUUGUGAUAUUUAUUUAUUGUUUGUGCAAGGUAGAAGAGGCAGGAGAGAUUUGAUAUAGGCAUGUAGCAGAUGUAGCAUGAACCUGUGUAAUUUGUAUGUUUAAAGCAAGUUGUAAUGAAUGGUGUUUAUUGUUGGUUUGAAUGAAUGUUUCCAACCAACCGAAAUGAAUGUACCAACGUAGACAGAUGUAGAGAAUAAAUGCUAGAAAACAAGAAAUUUUGAAUAGAUUAAAAACUGUCAAAACCAAGACAGAUGGUAGCAUAAAUGCAGUGAUUAUCUUACAAAAGAGAUUGCCAAAUCUUAGUCAUAAUACAAGUACGAAAUAUUAGUCUCGAAAUCAAGUACCAAAUUCAAGCACAAAAGAGACAUACGAAGUACCAAAUCUUAGUCUUAAUACAAGUAGAUAAAUUAUUGUCUUAGCCACUUCAAGACCAUAUUACUUCUUCCCCUUCCUCAAUGCAGCUUGUAGUUGUCCAAGAGUUGCAUAGUUCUUCCCAUCCUUCUGAAAAUAUUCCACCCCUGAAGGUCCUGAUUGAGCUGGUGCUUUAAAGGGCUUUACAAUUCCUCCGUGUGUUGCAACUGGCUUUGCAAACUGAAAAGGGGUUGAUCUGGGAUGGAGCCCUGCAGUUCCCUUGGUUCUUGGUGACUUUGUUGGUGAAGGAUUGGGAUGAUUUUGUGCAUACAAUUCAUUCUGAGCUCUUUGAAGCUCUGCCAGUUUUUGCUGCAAUUCCUCUUCACUCUGUUGAGUCUCUUCUUCCUUCCUUUUUCUGUCUUCAUCCACUUUCUGCAGAAGAGCAAGAAGUUGUAAAAAAACAAUGAAGAGAUACAUACGAAAGACCAAUUAGUUGUACAAAUUUCACCUUAGAAGUGCAAGUUCUUAAGUUGUGUCCUUGUUCCUUGCAGUAGGAACACCUUGUUCUUGGAGGUUCCCACUUCUUGCUGCCUCCUUCCUGUUCUUCUCCCCCUUCUGGAGGUGCUUGUUUCUGUGUACAUAAAAGGUUGAUAUUAGUGUUGUUGGGUGAAGGGUGUCCACAUAUUAAGAGUUAAAUGGAUAGACAAUACCUUUAGUGGACAGCCUCUAACACACCUUCUGCCUGUCUGAGAUGAAGGUAUAAGUUCCCGUAUUCUCUAUCCCCAAGUCAUCCUUUAAUAAACCAAGGAACCAGUCCCAACUACUUGAGUUUUCAGCUUCAACUUGGGCCCAAGCAAUCGGAUACAUACCCUCAUUAGGAUCCGUACCAACUGCAGUGAGCAAGAUGCCUCCAAAAGGUCCUUUUAGAUGACAUCCAUCUAACCCUAUUAAGGGUCUGCAUCCAUCUUUGAAACCUUCUUUUAAAGGUCCUAAACAUACAUAGAACCUUUUAAAUCUCCUCCCCUCAACACCUUGUUCAGCUGGCUCUGUCAUUACCUUGACAGUUGAUGUUGGCAUCACCUUCUUGACUUCAUUAGCAUACUGAUACAACAUCUUAAACUCUUCCUCAUGUUUUCCAAUGAUAUUAGCCUUGGCCUUCCUCAAUGCUCUAUAAAUCAUAUGCUCUGAAACAUGACACUUCAAGUCAUUUACCACUUUUGCCUGAAAUGCUGCUACAGCCCACUGAGGGUUCAUCCUGAUUUCAUGCUCAUAAGCUGCUGCUAUCCAUGUCGAAUUAAUUUGUUUUUGGACCCAAGUAGGGUUGCAUGUGUGUGUUGUAUGCAAAGUCUUGAUUUGGAUAUUGCUGGACCUUUGUUGCCUGAUUCCAUAACAUUUCCACUUGCAGCCCCUUUGACAGAUCCACUUAAUUUUAUCACCUAAAUUUUUCCUUAAUUUUACCCCUCUCUGGUGCAGAAUGGCAUGUUUCCUCACAGCUUCUCUGAAUGCUUUGCCACUGCUGAAUAACAUCCCCAUUUCGAACUGGGGAUCCUCCAUGUCUGUAAGUUCAUUGAAUUCAGGGUAUUUUUCCCCUUGCUCAUCACAUGAAGAUAUGGCCAUCCUCUCUACCUCACUGUCAUAAGUAGUUUGUGAGGAUUCACUAGCAUCAUCUGGGGCAUAUUCUUCAUCAUCUGAUCCAUCAUUAACUUUCUUCUUAACACCUUCAUCUGCAUUUGCAUCCUUAACAUCUUUAUUCUCCUCAAAAUUCUCCUCAAAAUUCUCCUCAAAAUCUUCCUCAAAAUCUUCCUCCAAAUUCUCCUCAACUGGAGAUUGAACUGCAUCUUCAACAUUUUGAACAUUUUCUUCAUUGGCAGGCUGAUCUUUCUCCUCAGCUUGUACUUGUUCAUGCACAUCUUGUACAUCUUCAUUGCCAGGCUGAUCUUUUUCCUCAACUUGCACAUCUUCAACUGUUUUUCUCUUCCUCUUUCCCUUGGACUNGACUUACCAACAGAUUUACACUUCUUUCUCUUGGACUUACCAACUGGUUGAUCCUCUACUAGCUUCUUCUUUCCUUUGUCUGGGCACUUCUCCUCAACUUUCUUCUUUUUUCCCUUGGCAGGACACUUGUCACCACCCUGAACCAUUUCCUCACUUUCAGCACCAUCUAUUAUCACAGGAGUCUCAGGUGUGUUCUUGAAAAGACCCCUCAACAUGGAAUAUCUGCCCCUCUUCCUAGCCCUGUAAGGUGGAUUUGGAGGUGGAAUUCUCCUAGGCUUCUUCUUAGUUUUAGGGCAAUCACUUUCACUUGAGUCCAUGUUUGAACUAUCUCCAUGGAAGCUUUUUUCCUCAUCUUCUGCAGAACCCUCUUCUUCUAUAUCAUUCAACUUCUCCUCCACUUCAACCCUAAUAUCCUCUAUCCUCUCAAUUCUUUGAUCAAUUGCCAUUUGUGUAUAAGAAAAAUCCCAUCCUUCACCAUCAUAGGCUGGCAUGUUUGAGGAAACAUACAGCCUUAUCAAUUUGUAGUUGCACUCAACCAAAGAAGAUAGGAUACUAAUGUCUCUCUCAGUCUCCAGGGGUGAUAAAUUUUCAGGGGUGAAUUCAGCUUCAUCACACAAAAACCAAAGGUCCACCUUUUCCCCAACUAAACCUACUUCUGCAAUCAUGGCCUCCAUUUCAUGUAAAUUUAGACCCACGACAGAGCACAUAUCAAAAUAAGCUAUCUUCCCACCCACAUAACCAGUAAUGUCUUCAUUGACAUGCCCACCAUAGUGUAAUUUAAGAGUAAAAUGUAAGCUCAUAUCUGCAUAAAAAAUUACAAGUUGGAGCGACAAUAAAGCACAUUUACACAUAAAAAAGGCAGCAAUGAAGAGAAUAUUCUCACAAAAGCAUCACUUUUUACAACAAAUGGACCACAAUUACAAAAUGCAGCAGUUAAACGAUUAGCACAUGGUAUGUUUUCAGAAAUGUAAACAUCAUGGGUCCACAACUUCCUAAUUAAACCCUAAUUACUUAAAGCACACAUCAGAUAUAGUAUAAAAGAAUCUAAAUGGGGCCAACAAAUCUAAUUAAACCCUAAUUUGUAUGCAUGCUACUUAAAAGGGGGGAUUGACGAUAUUCACAUGCAGAUAUACAGCCUCGAAAAAGGAAGAAAUUUACCUUCAUAGUCGGGGAUUUCUUUCCCAUUUGGCAGCAGAGAAACGUCGCCUUCAUCGGCGCCUUGACUUUUGCUUUCAUCCGAACAACUCCUUAAUCUGCCUCUCAUGAUUGUUGGUUACCGAGUAAUUACGGUUUAUUAGCACUAAUUUAGGGUUACUUGGUAGUCGAUUUAGGGUUUACAGGGUUUACAGAGGGGAGAGGGAAAGAUGAAGGGAGUGUGUGUGUUAGAUUGAAAAAUGCGCGGGGCUUAGUGUUUAUUACAUUUAGAUUAAGAUCUCUUAAUCUCUUUUAAUUAAACGGGGUUUACUGUUUUUAAAUUUUAAUUGCCGAUUACCAUUUAAUUGUUAACGGUCCGUUUUUUUUGGACGGAAAAGGUGCAUUUUGCAGCGCUAUAUUUACCAGGGGGAUGCACAAUGCAAAUAAUAAAAGUAUGUUGACUGAAGUGCGUUUGGGCCGAAGUUAUGGGGUGCAUUUUGCAAUUAACUCAUAUAAAAAUAAAAGACACUUAAUUGAGGCAAUUUAUAUAUUAAUAUCAUUAUUUCGAAUAUGUAUAUGAAUUUUACCAUUGCAAUGAUAUAGAUUCUUAUUUAUAGUUAUGAUAAAUUCUGAUUGCAUUUGUCGAAUGUACUAUCACAUCAUUUAUUCUCAUGUAAAAAUGUAUUUUUCAUUUUUUUGAGAUAAUUAAUAAUUUUGUAAAGAUUUGCAGGUGUACAGCAUAUAUAUUUAUACUGUAAAGAUGAAAUCUGUAUAGUAGAUUUUUACACCUCAAAUGCAUAAAGUCAAGCGACUAUUAAUAGAGGGAGUAUUUGUUGAAGAGUACUAAGUUUAUGUUGGGGCAUCUACCACCUCAUGGUUUAAGAUUGACGGGUUACUUAACAUAAUAUCAAAGUUCAGUUUAAAUUGUUUAGUGUCUACAAUUAUACGAUUGAGAGGAAGUGUUGCUUAGCAGAAUUAAAAAAAAAAAAAUUUAAACUCAGAACUGUAUCCUAAAUCUUCUACGGGUCAGUUCUGCCAUGUCUAUGUGUACAAGAUGGUAGCCAGAAUAUGCUGCAAAUAUGUGGAAUGGAGCUUUAGGUAAGAGGCUCAGCCCUCAGGAGUCUGGUCUAAGGUGUCUGGACAGUUAUACACAGAGGACUUCAUUGUAUUAGUUAUAAAUUUCUGGUAUUGGAUCAAAAGCUCCUAAUCCCAGUCCCAGAACUGGCAUAGGUUUCGCAUCCCCAGAGCUCAAACAAAUUUCUGGAAUAGCCCUCUUAAAAUUUCUGUGCAACUUUAGUAUGUACUUAAGAGUUUAUUUGAUUGCANNNNNNNNNNNNNNNNNNNNNNNNNNNNNNNNNNNNNNNNNNNNNNNNNNNNNNNNNNNNNNNNNNNNNNNNNNNNNNNNNNNNNNNNNNNNNNNNNNNNNNNNNNNNNNNNNNNNNNNNNNNNNNNNNNNNNNNNNNNNNNNNNNNNNNNNNNNNNNNNNNNNNNNNNNNNNNNNNNNNNNNNNNNNNNNNNNNNNNNNNNNNNNNNNNNNNNNNNNNNNNNNNNNNNNNNNNNNNNNNNNNNNNNNNNNNNNNNNNNNNNNNNNNNNNNNNNNNNNNNNNNNNNNNNNNNNNNNNNNNNNNNNNNNNNNNNNNNNNNNNNNNNNNNNNNNNNNNNNNNNNNNNNNNNNNNNNNNNNNNNNNNNNNNNNNNNNNNNNNNNNNNNNNNNNNNNNNNNNNNNNNNNNNNNNNNNNNNNNNNNNNNNNNNNNNNNNNNNNNNNNNNNNNNNNNNNNNNNNNNNNNNNNNNNNNNNNNNNNNNNNNNNNNNNNNNNNNNNNNNNNNNNNNNNNNNNNNNNNNNNNNNNNNNNNNNNNNNNNNNNNNNNNNNNNNNNNNNNNNNNNNNNNNNNNNNNNNNNNNNNNNNNNNNNNNNNNNNNNNNNNNNNNNNNNNNNNNNNNNNNNNNNNNNNNNNNNNNNNNNNNNNNNNNNNNNNNNNNNNNNNNNNNNNNNNNNNNNNNNNNNNNNNNNNNNNNNNNNNNNNNNNNNNNNNNNNNNNNNNNNNNNNNNNNNNNNNNNNNNNNNNNNNNNNNNNACUUUUUACCACAAAUGGACCACAAUUAGAAAAUGCAGCAGUUAAAUGAGUAGCACAUGGUAUGUUUUCAGAAAUGUAAACAUAAUGGGUCCACAACUUCCUAAUUAAACCCUAAUUACUUAAAGCACACAUCAAAUAUAGUAUAAAGGAAUCUAAAUGGGGCCAACAAAUCUAAUUAAACCCUAAUUUGUAUGCAUGCUACUUAAAAGGGGGGAUUGACGAUAUUCACAUGCAGAUAUACAGCCUCGAAAAAGGAAGAAAUUUACCUUCAUAGUCGGGGAUUUCUUUCCCAUUUGGCAGCAGAGAAACGUCGCCUUCAUCGGCGCCUUGACUUUUGCUUUCAUCCGAACAACUCCUUAAUCUGCCUCUCAUGAUUGUUGGUUACCGAGUAAUUACGGUUUAUUAGCACUAAUUUAGGGUUACUUGGUAGUCGAUUUAGGGUUUACAGGGUUUACAGAGGGGAGAGGGAAAGAUGAAGGGAGUGUGUGUGUUAGAUUGAAAAAUGCGCGGGGCUUAGUGUUUAUUACAUUUAGAUUAAGAUCUCUUAAUCUCUUUUAAUUAAACGGGGUUUACUGUUUUUAAAUUUUAAUUGCCGAUUACCAUUUAAUUGUUAACGGUCCGUUUUUUUUGGACGGAAAAGGUGCAUUUUGCAGCGCUAUAUUUACCAGGGGGAUGCACAAUGCAAAUAAUAAAAGUAUGUUGACUGAAGUGCGUUUGGGCCGAAGUUAUGGGGUGCAUUUUGCAAUUAACUCAUAUAAAAAUAAAAGACACUUAAUUGAGGCAAUUUAUAUAUUAAUAUCAUUAUUUCGAAUAUGUAUAUGAAUUUUACCAUUGCAAUGAUAUAGAUUCUUAUUUAUAGUUAUGAUAAAUUCUGAUUGCAUUUGUCGAAUGUACUAUCACAUCAUUUAUUCUCAUGUAAAAAUGUAUUUUUCAUUUUUUUGAGAUAAUUAAUAAUUUUGUAAAGAUUUGCAGGUGUACAGCAUAUAUAUUUAUACUGUAAAGAUGAAAUCUGUAUAGUAGAUUUUUACACCUCAAAUGCAUAAAGUCAAGCGACUAUUAAUAGAGGGAGUAUUUGUUGAAGAGUACUAAGUUUAUGUUGGGGCAUCUACCACCUCAUGGUUUAAGAUUGACGGGUUACUUAACAUAAUAUCAAAGUUCAGUUUAAAUUGUUUAGUGUCUACAAUUAUACGAUUGAGAGGAAGUGUUGCUUAGCAGAAUUAAAAAAAAAAAAAUUUAAACUCAGAACUGUAUCCUAAAUCUUCUACGGGUCAGUUCUGCCAUGUCUAUGUGUACAAGAUGGUAGCCAGAAUAUGCUGCAAAUAUGUGGAAUGGAGCUUUAGGUAAGAGGCUCAGCCCUCAGGAGUCUGGUCUAAGGUGUCCGGACAGUUAUACACAGAGGACUUCAUUGUAUUAGUUAUAAAUUUCUGGUAUUGGAUCAAAAGCUCCUAAUCCCAGUCCCAGAACUGGCAUAGGUUUCGCAUCCCCAGAGCUCAAACAAAUUUCUGGAAUAGCCCUCUUAAAAUUUCUGUGCAACUUUAGUAUGUACUUAAGAGUUUAUUUGAUUGCAGUGAAGAACAGAACUAUAAUAACAGAAUUUGCAGAUUAUUCAUAAGCCCAUCUCAAAGCCACCUGGGCUACAGAUUUUCCUUUCGACUGUGCAAUUUCAUUCAAUACUUCAGAUUCCAGCACUCCUUUGGUUCCCCAAAAGGCUCCUGCUGCUCCAAGAGGAGAAAACGCCGCUAUCUUGAUUCCCUUUGCCUGGCAGAACUCCUUUAACUUCCCUUGUUGCCAUGCUGGAUUCAUCUCCACCUAUCACCACAAUUAGAUCAGGAUUCACUUUUGUUUUUUUAAGUUACACAUGCUAUGAUGUGAAUAUUUACUGAACUAACUUGAACAAUUGCUGGAGGAAUCUUAGCAAAAGCCAGAAUAUCAGCAACCUUCUUGGAAGAGAAAUUGCUCACACCAAUAGAUUUUGUAAGGCCGAGUGUUUGGCACUCUUCCAUAGCUGUCCAGACCGAUUUGAUGUCCAGUGGAAGAACAUCUUCUGGCUUUAAUUGUAAUAUGUUUGUGUCGGGCUUCAGGCUCACUGGCCAAUGAAUAAGAUACUGAUCAAGAUACUCCAACUUCAUAUUCCUGACAAUAAAAAAUAAAAUAUGAAUUGACAUUACGAUUUCUUGUUUCCUAAUAAGAAAAAUGAAUGAGCGGUCAUUUAUAUUACUCUAGUGUCUUCUGGAGAGCAGGGAGGAUACGAUCUGCAUGAGUAUCAUUGCACCAUACCUUAGAGGUAAGAAAGACUUCAUCGCGAGACUUGAUCAAACCAAGACUAACUGCUUGACAUAUAGCUUCACCAACAGCUUCCUCCGUUUGGUAAAAGGAAGCGGUAUCAAACAUCCUAUAACCAAGCUCAAUUGCUUCAAGCACCGCUUUUAUCACUGCUUCUGGCGGUGCAGGGGGAUAACCACCUGCAUAUGCUACAAAUAUGCACUAGCCAGCAUAUGCUGCAAAUAUGUGGAAUGGAGCUUUAGGUAAGAGGCUCAGCCCUCAAAUAUGAUCACUUGGUAAGCAUUGUAUGAUUGAAAGUGCUUGUAUUGUUACCAGAAAUAUCAGGAAUGAGGCUGAGUUGAGCAACUACAGAUUACCGAACGAAAAUAUAAAAUACAUUAUCACUAGAAAAAAACAGGAUUGACAAAUUGGCCGAUGUGCCUUAUUUCAGAUGGUUCACCUAUACUAUUAUAUUUAUGACAUAAAUAUCCUUAAAGUUCUCCAUCCCAGAGCUCCUCGAGUGUCUUGAACGGGCCAGUUUCAGAGAUAAAGAACUCCGCAAGGUUUGCCCUCCUCUGCGGUAUUGCAGCAAUCUUCUUGGACUCUUCAUCGCUCAACUCCCACCCAAAAAUUUCAAGAUUCUGUUUUAGUCUCUCUUUGUUGAAGCUCUUCAUCACAAUAACAAUCCCUUGCUCAUAAGCCCAUCUCAAGGCAAUCUGGGCUACAGACUUACCUUUCGACUUUGCAAUUUCAAUCAGAACCUCGGAUUCCAACACUCCUUUCGUCCCCCAAAAAGCUCCUGCUGCUCCUAGAGGAGAAUAAGCAGCAACCUUGAUUCCAUUUGCCUGACAGAAGGCCCUCAAUUUCCCUUGUUGCCAUGCUGGGUUCAAUUCCACCUUCGUACAUAAAUAGAUUAGUACAUAGUUUUUCGAUGUUAAUAGAGUAGUAGUUUACUAUUAAUUUGUAGUUUGGGAAUGCAAGCUUACUUGAUUGAUAGCAGGAGGAAUCUUGGCAAAAGCCAAAAUAUCAGCAAGCUUCUUGCAACUGAAAUUACUGACACCGAUUGAUUUUGUAAGGCCAAGGCUUUGGCACUCUUCCAUAGCUGUCCAAACAGAUUUGAUGUCGAUUGCAACAGUAUCCUCAGGGUUAAGUCGAAAAAGAUCUGAUCCAGCCUUCAUGCUCACCGGAAAAUGUAUAAGAUACUGAUCAAGAUAGUCCAACUUCAUAUCCCUGUCCAACAAUAAAUAAGAAAUAACUAUUAGAAUAUAAUGAUCCUCGUGAAAAGCUUUUCCCUAACACCUCGUAAAAGUUAUCUUAUUACCUCAAACUCUUUUGAAGGGCAGGAAGGACUCGAUCACCAUAAUUAUCAUGCAACCAGAGCUUUGAGGUAAUAAAAAGCUCAUCGCGGGACUUGAUUAAGCCACGACUAAUAGCUUGAGCUAUUGCUUCACCAAGAGCUUCCUCUGUUUGGUAAAAAGCAGCAGUAUCAAACAUCCUGUAGCCAAGCUCAAUCGCGUCAAGCACAGCUUUCUUUGUAUUAGUUAUAACUUCUGGUGUCGGAUCAGAAGCUCCUAAUCCAAGUCCUAGAACUGGCAUAGGUUUUGCAUUUCCGGAGCUCAAACAAAUUUCUGGAAUAGCCAUCUUUUACUUAUAAUUUCUGGACAACUUAG
RNAcentral lists this long non-coding RNA (18098 nucleotides) under Daucus carota (carrot). Its description in RNAcentral is "long non-coding RNA (DCAR_LNC005933)". Lineage: Eukaryota; Viridiplantae; Streptophyta; Magnoliopsida; Apiales; Apiaceae. The record is from RNAcentral.